This is a non-coding RNA of Lolium perenne, 367 nucleotides long. The record is from RefSeq and is a predicted model, not a curated record. NCBI's taxonomy places the organism in Eukaryota, Viridiplantae, Streptophyta, Magnoliopsida, Poales, Poaceae.
GACAGAUGAGAAGAAAGACGCAAGAAGAAUGGCAAAAACGAUCUGCAGAUUGAUGUAGAUGAAAAAGAACAAAAACUGUAUGCCGUAACUAUUUGAUCUGAAUAUCUCAAGACCUGCAAAACAAGCAAGGAGAGUCAACUCACUGGAAGAAGGAGCUGAACUGUCCAUGUGAAGAACAGUGCCGCAAGAAGAGUGGUAAGGUCCAGCCUGAUUCUGAUUGCAGCUUUGGGCAUCUCUUUCAAAAAUUCAAGGCGCAUUUCUGCGCUCACUCCUUGACGGACCUUUAGAUAUGCAGUGGAUGCCUAGAGUACACAUGCAUGUUAAUACCAUCAAAAAAGCAUGAAUAUGAUUUGUCACUUCAAAUACA